RNAcentral lists this unclassified non-coding RNA (274 nucleotides) under Ascomycota sp. RNAcentral describes it as "partial contains internal transcribed spacer 1". Lineage: Eukaryota; Fungi; Ascomycota. The record is from RNAcentral.
AAGUCGUAACAAGGUUUUGCUAAGCAACACAGUCCUUCUGUAGCAGAGCUUAACGGAGACCUUGCACCCGAGAGGGGGGAGGCGACUAUAAACAAGCUUCCAGCGCAAGUCAGCACCCGCUGGCAACACAAUCGAAUUGCGGGGACGCUUUAAAGCCUACCAGUACCAACAGCCCCUGCCGGGGGCUGGGCGAGCGCAGCUCGAGGUCACAACCUGGGAGGAUGCCACAAUAAGCAAUCCGCAGCGGCUCCGGCCGUCCACAGACUAAGUGGUU